AGUGUUUCCAGGACGGCAGCCUGUGUGAAGUGCUAGGGAAAGCCUUUUCAUGCCUUGAAAAAUACACACAAGUAUUUCUCUUCCUGAGCUUCAAGGAGACUCUGCAUUCAAAAGACCACUCCCGGGCACUGCCUUCUACCAACUUCCCCAUCCAGCUCUGAUUGCAUCGGACCACUGUCUUCCCUCCAUGCCUCCAGCCCUGAGGUUGUCAACGGGGUGCUCCAGCCUCCAUGUGCACCCUGUGACUUCUUUCAUCCUAGUCCUUCUGACCCUCGUGGCUUCUCCUGCUCCAAGGCCAAGCUCGGGACCCUGUCAUCAUCCCCGGGGACAGGCCCCAUCUUAGAGAGGAUCCACCCAGCUCCCCGCUCCUGAGCCAUCUUCCAGCUAUCCCGCCUCGAGACUCCCACCGCACCUGCUCCUGGGCUGCAGCUGCACCCAACAAGUCAACAUGUGGAUUGCUUCUAGAAUUUGGAUAUUAUGAACACUGCUGUGCUGAACAUUCUUGUACACUUAUAUGGUUUGGCUGUGUCCCCACCCAAAUCUCAUCUUGAAUUGUAGCUCCCAUAAUUCCUAUGUGUCGUGGGAGGGACCCAAUGGGAGGUAAUUGAAUCAUAGGGGCAGGUCUUUCCCCUGCUGUCCUUAUG
RNAcentral lists this long non-coding RNA (644 nucleotides) under Homo sapiens (human). RNAcentral's name for it is "HSALNT0363500". Lineage: Eukaryota; Metazoa; Chordata; Mammalia; Primates; Hominidae. The record is from RNAcentral.